AAUUAAUUAUAAAAAAUAAUUUAAUUUUUUAAUUAAUUCAUUUAUUCUUUAUAAUUAAUUAUUAAUAUUUUAAUAUAUUUAUUUAUAAAUUAAUAUUUAUAUUGAUCAACCAUUAAUAUUUUUAUUAAUCUAAUUAAAUGUUUUUGUUAGUUAUCUACCUAAAAUAAUUUACUAACUAAUUAAAUUAUUAAAUAUAUUAAUUAUAUUAAUUAAUAAUUUAAUAACAUAAUUAAAAUUAAAUUUUAAUUUUAAUUAAACUUAUUUCUAGCUUGAGAACAAAUUUAUUUUAGAAAAAAGGGUGGAACAACAGUUCUAACCUUAUAACCAACCGUUACUAGCGCAAGUGGCAAAGAGCUUGGUGGUUGGUACCUGAGGUCCCGAGUUCGAAUUCUAGUUGAUUCACAUUUUCAGUUAAAUUUAUUUUUAAAUAAAAUAAACAAAACAGAUAGCACUACCUAUCUCUAAAAAAAAAAAAAGAUAAUAAUAAUUUUAAUCUUAUAUUAGCUUAUUUUAGAAAUUUAAGAAUUACAGUUCUCAAAUACCAAAUACAAUAAUUGAAAAUAAAUUUAAAAAUUACUGUUCUCAAAUACCAAAUACAAUAAUAAUUGAAAAUAAA
This 616-nucleotide long non-coding RNA is filed under the name Ananas comosus (pineapple). RNAcentral describes it as "long non-coding RNA (ACOM_LNC016966)". Lineage: Eukaryota; Viridiplantae; Streptophyta; Magnoliopsida; Poales; Bromeliaceae. The record is from RNAcentral.